GAGCUUGUAGCUUAAUGGUUAAAGCAUGCCGCUCAUAACGGUGUCAUUGUAGGUUCAAGUCCUGCCUGGCUUA
RNAcentral lists this transfer RNA (73 nucleotides) under Proteromonas lacertae. Its description in RNAcentral is "tRNA-Met". It matches the Rfam family "tRNA". From Rfam's summary of the family: Transfer RNA (tRNA) molecules are approximately 80 nucleotides in length. Their secondary structure includes four short double-helical elements and three loops (D, anti-codon, and T loops). Lineage: Eukaryota; Bigyra; Opalinata; Proteromonadidae. The record is from RNAcentral.